RNAcentral lists this long non-coding RNA (5240 nucleotides) under Sus scrofa (pig). Its description in RNAcentral is "lncRNA (ENSSSCG00000059193.1)". The record is from RNAcentral. Lineage: Eukaryota; Metazoa; Chordata; Mammalia; Artiodactyla; Suidae.
UUUAUUUUUUUCUUUUUAAUUUUAUUUUGUUUGAAGCAUGUUCAUGAUUAAAUCUGUAUGCUGGCUUAUUUGAGUGACUGCUCUCUGCGAUUUCCUCAGUCCUAGUUCUUCCUCUUCUUCUUCUUCUUUUUUUUUUUUCUUUUCUUUUUUCUUCCCUUUCCUUCCUUUUUUUUUGGUUUAGAGAAGCCCUUUCAAUAUUUCCUUGAACCUGGGUUUUGUGUUGCUGUAUUCCUUAAGUUUUUGUUUGUUGGGAAAAAUUUUUAUUUCCCCUUCUAUUUUAAAUGAUAUUCUUGCUGGAUAAAGAAUUCUAGGUUGCAUAUUGUUUCCUUUUAGCACUUUAAAUAUCUCUUGCCAUUCCCUCCUGGCCUGUAGUGUUUCUGUAGAGAAAUCAGCUGAUAACCUUAUGGGGGUUCCCUUGUAGGUAACAUUCUGUUUUUCUCUUGCUGCCUUUAGGAUGCUCUCUUUAUCACUAACUUUUGCCAUUUUUAUUAUGAUGUGUCUUGGUGUGGGUCUUUGUGUUCAGUUUGUUUGGGGCUCUCUGUGCUUCUUGUAUCUUGAAUUCAGUAUCCUUUAGAUUUGGGAAGUUUCCAUCGAUAAUUUCUUCAAAUAUAUUUUCCAUCCCCUUAUCUUUUUCUACUCCUUCUGGAAUUCCUAUUAUGCGUAGAUUGGCCCGCUUUAUAUUAUCCCAUAGGUCUCUUAUAUUGCUUUCCUGUUUUUUGAUUCGGUAUUCUGUCUGUUGACUGGAUUGAGUGAUUUCCAUUAUUCCAUCUUCCAUAUCACUGAUUCGUUCUUCUGCAUUAUUCAUUCUGGUUUUCACUGCCCCUAGUUCAGUUUGCAUCUCUGCAAAUGAAUGUUCUAGUUUUUCUUGGCUCCUCCUUAUAUUUUCUAGCUCCUUUCUGAGGGUAUCUGCAUUACUGUUCCUAUCUUCUCUUCAUUCCUUCAGUAUUUUCACUAUUUCUCUUUUGAACUCCAGGUCUGUCAGACUGCAGAGAUCUGUUUCAUUGUUGACUGUGUUAGGUGAGUUCUCCUGUUGGUUUGACUGGGGGUGGUUUCUCAGCUUCUUCAUCUUGCUUGUUGUUUUCUUUCUCCUGAGGGAGUUGUACUCUCUGUGAUCGGGUAGUGUUUGCCUUGUCACUGCCGUGCAAUAUUUCCUGAGGGCUGGCAUUGUUGGUCAAUCUUUUUUGAGGCAGUGUGGCUUUUCUGGAGUGUUGGUGGGGCUAACAGUGUUUCUUUGAAGCAAAGGAGGACUUCCUGAGGGCAGACAGGACUGGGAGGUCCACACCACAAUGGUAGCAGAUUUCACUUGGUCAUGCAGAGCUUGCUCUGGUGUUUUUAGGCUGUGGGGUUCUUGCAGGGGGUUGGCGGUGUUGGGCAGCUGCUCUUCAGGGGUGCAUCACCCCCUGGGGGCUGGAGCAGCUAUCUGGGUCACUGAGAACCUAAGAGGCUCUUCCCUAGGGCAGCCCAACUCAGAAGGACAGCCUGAGAAUGUAGGCGGAUCUUUUCACAGUCUGGCCGAGCUUGUUGCAGCUUUUCUGGGCUGCAGGGGCUCUUCCAGGGGGCUGGUGGUGCUGAGCAGUUAUUUCAAGUGAGUGGGGCACCCCCUGGGGGCUUGGGCGGGUAGCAGGGCCCUUGGAGACCAAAGAGGCUCCUCCCCAUGGCAGCCCAACUCAGAAAAACCGUCUGAGAUCCUUUCUCGACUUGGCCAGGCUUGUUGCAGCUUUUCUGGGCUGCAGGGGGUCCUGCCUGGAGCUGGCAGUCCUAUGCAGCUGGUCCACUAGGUCUCAGCACCCCCUGGGGGCUUGAGCACGUAGCAGGGCCCUUGGAGACCCAAGAGGCUCCUCCCCAGGGCAGCCCGACUCAGAAAAACCAUCGGAGAAUUAGGCCGAUCUAUUCAUGGCCUGGCUAGUCUUGUUCUAGCUUUUCUGGGCUGCAGGCCUUUUCUCGGGGGCUGGUGGUGUUUGGUGCUGCUCUGCGAAAGUGUAGCCCCUCCAAAGGGCAAGCAGGCCUGUGCAGGGACAGCCCCUGCAGUGGUAGGCUUCAAGCAAUUGUUGAGGCCAGCCCUCCUGGAUGGCAGGCAGCCCCAGGUUUGGCGAGAGCGUAGUGGGUGGUGGGUGUGGGGGAGGGAAUGCCCUGGGAAGCACAGCUUUCUGCUAGCUAGCGGGCCUGUAAACUUGCUGUGGCAUGGGUGGUAUUCUAUGGGGACCCACCCCUUCUUCUCUCCCCUCCCCAGCAUGGGCGCAGACCAGGCUCUUCUCCCAGGUUCCCUCUGAGGCGGCUUUCCACUUCCCCGUCCCUAGAGUAUUGUUCCCUUCCUCUGCAACAGCUUUGUUUUCUAGUCUCCCAGGAAGUCUCUGCCCUGUCAAAUGGUUUAGAGACCUCCCAAGCAGUUUCCGCUCUGCCCCGCCCCCCAGCCCGGGGACUAAUCUCUGGAGCCGAGGUCUCGGUGCCCAGCCCCCACCCAGGCGUCCCCCGGCCCUUUCUCAGGGAUUAACCUUCAGAGGCGAGGUCUUGGUGCCCAGCCCCCACCCAGGCAUCCCCCGGCCCUUUCCUGGGGACUAACCUCUGGAGCCGAGGUUUCGGUGCCCAGCCCCCACCCUGGUGUCUCAAUUUUUGGUGACUGUGCCCGUAGUUCAGAUGGUCCGUUGGGUCUUGAUCGGUUUUUCUGUACUCCGACUUACUGCUACACUCUUCUCUGCAUCUGGGGAUUCCUCCAGUUCGUUUGAUCUUUCCCCGGAGUAGGUGACUUUCCAGAGUGUGGGAUCCCUUUCUCCUCUGCAGUUCCCUUUCGGGAGUGCCCAUCCCACUCGGAUUCACCUUCUCUCACUCUCCUCUUUUCUCCUGUUCUGCCCAAUAAUGUCACGAACUUCUUGCCGUUAUUGGAGUUUAGGUUCCUCUGCCAGCGAUUGGUUGCUGUUCUGUGCGAGUCAUUUAUUCUGUAGAUGUGCUUUUUUUGUUGUGUUUGUGGGAGAGGGCGAGCGUGUCCCCCUACUCCUCCGCCAUCUUGUCCUCCCUCCUCCUUAGUAUAUUUUACAUACCUUGAAACUCAUUACAAAUAGUUACAAUUCCUUGGACAGGCAAGUCUAUUUCUACCACUCAAUUGUUAUCUUUUUGAAGCUGGAGCCUUACUCUUUUCUGCAGUGUCAACCUUAGCUCUUUCUAGUAUAUAAUAGAUCCUGAGUAAAUCAAAUGUGCAAAAUAUACCAAAAGAGACAAAGCUAUUAAAAAAGACAUUGAAUUAGUGUUAGUACACAUGGAUUCUGGUCCUCAUAUUUCUGUGUAUGACCUUGGGCAUGUCAUUUCCCCUCUUCUGUGCCCCACUAGUCUUACCUAAAAGAUGAGAUAUUUUCACCUUAAUAUUCACUGUCUUUGUCUCUCUCUCCCUUUUUUUUUUUUUGUCUCUUUAGGGCCACACUCAUAUGGAGAUUCCCAGGCUAGGGUUCUUAGAGCUACAGCUAAUGGCCUACACACAGCCAUAGCAAUGCCAGAUACAAGCUGCAUCUGUGACCUAUACCACAGCUAAUGGCAAUGCUGGAUCCUUAACCAACUGAGCAAGGCCAGAGAUCAAACCCACAACCUCAUGUUUCCUAGUCAGAUUUGUUUCCACUGCACCAUGACAGGAACUCCUAUUCACUGUCUUUGAUUAUAUUUUGUUAACUUCUCUGCAUCAUAAAUAAUCAGAAUUUAAUUUUCAAGGUGUUCAUAUUCAAAAUAAAUUAUACAUGUCCUUUUUCAGUGAACCAGCCUCAUUCCAAGUGCUGUUUUCCUGGGUAUCUCUCCUAUGCCAAUUACUGCUGGACCUUUCCAACAUCCUUCCUUUGAUGCAACUAAGGUGAGUUUUGAAACAUAUCAUAGCAUAUCUCUUGAUGUAUAUGACCAAGAUAUAUACUUAAACAAAAAUUAGUAUUAAUGAUAUAAAUAUUCUAUGCUAGAUUUUGCUCUAAAUUAGUUAUCUCUACUUAUAUUCUCCAGCUACAAAAUAUAUUUCAGGAGUUCCCGUCGUGGCGCAGUGGUUAACGAAUCCGACUAGGAACCAUGAGGUUGCAGGUUCGGUCCCUGCCCUUGCUCAGUGGGUUAAGGAUCCGGCGUUGCUGUGAGCUGUGGUGUAGGUUGCAGACGCGGCUCGGAUCUUGUGUUGCUGUGGCUCUGGCAUAGGCCGGUGGCUGCAGCUCUGAUUAGACCCCUAGCCUGGGAACCUCCAUAUGCUGCCAGAGCGGCCCAAGAAAUAGCAAAAAGACAAAAAAAUAUAUAUAUAUUUCACCCAACUAUCUUAUGUGACACUGGAUGCAAGUAAAAUGAAAAAGGGAAUUGUGCAAUAUGUAAAAAUCUGGUAAGUACUAACAAUGAAAAUGAAUCUGAUGUGUUCCUAACACAAAUCUAUAGGUUAGGUAUUAUGAGCCCCAUUUUAUAGAUGAGGAAACUGAACCUCAGAGUGCUUAGAAGUUGUAGAAACCAAAUUAAUAAUCAAGUAUUUUAAUUUCAAAAUCUAUAAUAUUGAUCAUUACACUACACUGAUCUAAUAUAGAAUUUAAUAGAAUUCAAAGUCUUCCAUGAAAAUUCACCCCUAUAAAAUUCAGACACAUAUUCCAUUUCCAUUCCUUAUCAUUGGAGUUUAGGUGGAAUAAUUUCCCUAUCUGUAAUAUAGUACAUUUGAUUUUAAACUCUAAAUUUAGAAAUAUUUUAACAUAUAUAUAUAUAAAAUAAAAUUAAUGGUAAAAUAAAUAACGCUAUAAAGCAACAUAAAACUAGUACCCAGCUUUUAUAGUUGUCAGUAUUUUGCCAAUCUUUUUCAUCUCUUCUACUCCCCUUCUUUUGGGGAAGAAUUUUAAACCAAACCAAAACAUCAUAUUAUUUCACUCACAAUUACUACUGUUACAUUAGAUUGUAAACAAACUAAAGUGCAGUCAAUAAGCUCAUAUCUAUUCCACUAAUAAUAAUAACCUACCAAAGUACUUCCACAUCUAUUAUCUUACUUGACCAUCAUAAGAGACUUCAGGAGUUCCUGUCAUGGUGCAGUAGAAAUGAAUCUGACUAGAAAUCAUGAGCUUGUGGGUUCGAUCCCUGGCCUCACUCAGUAGGUUAAGGAUCCAGCAUUGCUGUGAGCUGUGGUGUAGGUAGGUCACAGAUGUGUCUUGGAUCUGGCAUUUCUGUGGCUGUGGUAUAGGCUAGCAGCUGUAGCUCCAAUUAGACCCCUAGUGUGGGAGCCUCCAAAUGCCAAGGGUGUGGCCCUGAAAAGACAAAAG